This 479-nucleotide ribosomal RNA is filed under the name Salmonella enterica. RNAcentral's name for it is "partial 23S ribosomal RNA". It matches the Rfam family "Bacterial large subunit ribosomal RNA", at positions 711 to 1188 of the family's 2925-position model. Lineage: Bacteria; Pseudomonadati; Pseudomonadota; Gammaproteobacteria; Enterobacterales; Enterobacteriaceae. RNAcentral also lists the same sequence under 10 other names. The record is from RNAcentral.
AGACCCGAAACCCGGUGAUCUAGCCAUGGGCAGGUUGAAGGUUGGGUAACACUAACUGGAGGACCGAACCGACUAAUGUUGAAAAAUUAGCGGAUGACCUGUGGCUGGGGGUGAAAGGCCAAUCAAACCGGGAGAUAGCUGGUUCUCCCCGAAAGCUAUUUAGGUAGCGCCUCGUGAAUUCAUCUCCGGGGGUAGAGCACUGUUUCGGCUAGGGGGCCAUCCCGGCUUACCAACCCGAUGCAAACUGCGAAUACCGGAGAAUGUUAUCACGGGAGACACACGGCGGGUGCUAACGUCCGUCGUGAAGAGGGAAACAACCCAGACCGCCAGCUAAGGUCCCAAAGUCAUGGUUAAGUGGGAAACGAUGUGGGAAGGCCCAGACAGCCAGGAUGUUGGCUUAGAAGCAGCCAUCAUUUAAAGAAAGCGUAAUAGCUCACUGGUCGAGUCGGCCUGCGCGGAAGAUGUAACGGGGCUAAACC